GACGAACGCUGGCGGCGUGCUUAACACAUGCAAGUCGAACGCUGAAGCUUGGUGCUUGCACUGGGUGGAUGAGUGGCGAACGGGUGAGUAAUACGUGAGUAACCUGCCCUUGACUCUGGGAUAAGCCUGGGAAACUGGGUCUAAUACUGGAUACGACAUGUCACCGCAUGGUGGUGUGUGGAAAGGGUUUUACUGGUUUUGGAUGGGCUCACGGCCUAUCAGCUUGUUGGUGGGGUAAUGGCUCACCAAGGCGACGACGGGUAGCCGGCCUGAGAGGGUGACCGGCCACACUGGGACUGAGACACGGCCCAGACUCCUACGGGAGGCGGCAGUGGGGAAUAUUGCACAAUGGGCGGAAGCCUGAUGCAGCGACGCCGCGUGAGGGAUGACGGCCUUCGGGUUGUAAACCUCUUUCAGCACGGAAGAAGCGAAAGUGACGGUACGUGCAGAAGAAGCGCCGGCUAACUACGUG
This 472-nucleotide ribosomal RNA is filed under the name uncultured bacterium. RNAcentral's name for it is "partial 16S ribosomal RNA". It matches the Rfam family "Bacterial small subunit ribosomal RNA", at positions 28 to 507 of the family's 1533-position model. The record is from RNAcentral.